This 253-nucleotide ribosomal RNA is filed under the name uncultured bacterium. Its description in RNAcentral is "partial 16S ribosomal RNA". It matches the Rfam family "Bacterial small subunit ribosomal RNA", at positions 524 to 776 of the family's 1533-position model. The record is from RNAcentral.
UACGUAGGGACCAAGCGUUGUUCGGAUUUACUGGGCGUAAAGGGCGCGUAGGCGGCAUGACAAGUCACUUGUGAAAUCUCCGGGCUUAACUCGGAACGGUCAAGUGAUACUGUCGCCCUAGAGUGCGGAAGGGGCAAUCAGAAUUCUUGGUGUAGCGGUGAAAUGCGUAGAUAUCAAGAGGAACACCAGUGGCGAAGGCGGGUCUCUGGGCCGUAACUGACGCUGAGGAGCGAAAGCGUGGGGAGCGAACAGG